UGAGUCUUAGGUUAAUUAAACCGUUGCCCUUCAAAGGCAAGAUUGAGCAUUUCAGGCUUUA
This 61-nucleotide transfer RNA is filed under the name Bathynomus sp. YS-2016. RNAcentral's name for it is "tRNA-Trp". The record is from RNAcentral. Lineage: Eukaryota; Metazoa; Arthropoda; Malacostraca; Isopoda; Cirolanidae.